Cercocebus atys (sooty mangabey) is the source of this 948-nucleotide long non-coding RNA. RefSeq lists it as uncharacterized. The transcript is spliced from 2 exons. Lineage: Eukaryota; Metazoa; Chordata; Mammalia; Primates; Cercopithecidae. The record is from RefSeq and is a predicted model, not a curated record.
UGCCACUGCACUCCAGCCUAGGGGAUAGAGCAAGACCUUGUCUCAAAAAAAAUGAAGACUUCUCGACUUCACUGUAUUCAUUUUCCAAAUCUGGCUCCUCUAUUUCCUAAUUGCAUGACUACGCAUAAGUUAAUUAUCAUGCUCAAGUUACUUAACCUCUCUCUGCCUCAGUGUCCUCAUCAGUGAAAUGUGGGGAAUAAUAGCACACCUACCUCACUGAGUAGUUGUGAGGAGCAACUGAAUUGAUAUAUGCAAAGUGCUUGAAAUAGUGUCUGGAAUGUAAUAAGUGCUGUGUAUGUGUUAGCUGUUGUCUCCAGUUCCCAGCAUAGUUUCUGGUACAUAGUGGUGUUAAAUAAGUGUGUGUGGCUUAAUGAAUGAACUUUCAUUAAGGAUUCAUAAGAAGACAGGAUGGGGAAUGGGGAAACGGAGGAAGCACCCUGAGAAGUCACCAGAAAUCUAAAGAAUGGAGCUCCAUCUUCCUGCAAAUGAGGACCGAAGACCAGCUUGCCGUAGGAGAAACAGAGGUUAGGCACAGAAAACUUCUCAGUGGUUAAAAGUGAAAGUAUCUGGGAUGCGAACAUGAGCAAGAGAACACUUCUUUAUAGGAGAACUUGGGCCUCAGUCUGCAGAGACACAGAAGCAAAUGACUUUAUGAAGCUCCUGACUGUAUGAAGUUCUCAGUGAAACAGAAUAGCACCUCUUCUGCCCAUCUCAGAAGUAGAUGAGGGCAAAGUGAAAUAAUGGAAAGCACAAGGAACAGUAAAAGGCAAAUGUCAAGAAGCUGUUUGCAAAGUUACCAAGAUGUAAAAUUAGAUUUUACUUAUUAAUAAUCGUGUCACUUGUCAUUCUGUUUAUAACGGUCAGUUCACUGCUGAUAUUCAAGUGGACCAUUUAAACUGUAUUUUUGCUCAACUAUCCCUCCAAAUAAAUAUCUCAAGAUCUUGACUG